UGGGGAAUUUUGCACAAUGGGGGAAACCCUGAUGCAGCGACGCCGCGUGAUUUAGAAGGCCUUCGGGUUGUAAAAAUCUUUUUUAUGGGAUGAAAAUGACAGUACCAUAAGAAUAAGGUCCGGCUAAAUACGUGCCAGCAGCCGCGCUAAUACGUAUGGACCGAGCGUUGUCCGGAAUCAUUGGGCGUAAAGGGUACGUAGGCGGCCCAGUAAGUUAGAAGUGAAAUAAUAUAGCUCAACUAUAUAAAGCUUUUAAAACUGCUAGGCUUGAGAGAUGGAAGGGAAAGUGGAAUUCCUAGUGUAGCGGUGAAAUGCGCAGAUAUUAGGAAGAAUACCGGUGGCGAAGGCGACUUUCUGGUCAUCAUCUGACGCUGAGGUACGAAAGCGUGGGUAGCAAACAGG
Molecule: ribosomal RNA, 402 nt
Filed under: Verrucomicrobiota bacterium
Lineage: Bacteria; Pseudomonadati; Verrucomicrobiota
Description: Verrucomicrobia bacterium partial 16S ribosomal RNA
Rfam family: Bacterial small subunit ribosomal RNA
Source: RNAcentral